GAUUAUGGCUCAGAAUGAACGCUGGCGGCAUGGAUUAGGCAUGCAAGUCGAACGGGCCCUUCGGGGACUAGUGGCGCAGGGGUGAGUAACACGUGAGCAACCUGCCCCCGAAUCCGGAAUAAUCCAGGGAAACUUGGUCUAAAACCGGAUGUCGGCGUUUACCCGCAUGGGUUUCCGCCGAAAUAUUCAUAGUUCGGGGAUGGGCUCGCGUCCCAUUAGCUAGUUGGCGGGAUAACAGCCCACCAAGGCGACGAUUGGUAGCCGGAUUGAGAGAUUGAUCGGCCACAUUGGAACUGAGAUACGGUCCAAACUCCUACGGGAGGCAGCAGUGGGGAAUAUUGGGCAAUGGAGGAAAAACCUCUUACCCAGCAAUGCCGCGUGAGUGAAGAAGGUCUUCGGAUUGUAAAGCUCUUUGAUUGGGGACGAAUAAAUGACGGUACCCAAGGAACAAGCCCCGGCUAACUAUGUGCCAGCCGCCGC
This 480-nucleotide ribosomal RNA is filed under the name uncultured bacterium. RNAcentral's name for it is "bacterial SSU rRNA". It matches the Rfam family "Bacterial small subunit ribosomal RNA", at positions 15 to 518 of the family's 1533-position model. The record is from RNAcentral.